GCUCAAUAUCUAGCCCAACCCAAAUGUAUUUUAAUACCUCAAUUUUCCCUCACCUUUAAAACAUUUUUUUAAUUUAGUAGAGGCGAUUAAAAAAUUUCUUGGAGCAAUAUUUUCUAGUACCGUAAGGGAAAGAUGAAAUAAAAAUGAAAAAACUUUUCAAGCCCAAAAUAGUAGAGCUUAACUCUCGUACCUUUUGCAUCAUGGUUUAACUAGUCUCAUCAAGCAAAAAGACUUUUAGUUUGAACCCCCGAAUCUAGGCGAGCUAUUUUAAGACAGUUUCAUGAACGAACCCGUCUCUGUUGCAAAAGAGUGGGAAGAUCCUAAAAUAGCGGUGACAGACCUAACGAGCCUAGUGAUAGCUGGUUGCUCCAGAAAAGGAUUUUAGUCCUGCUUAAACCUUAAUGAUUUUCCAAAAAAUCUGUUUAAAGUUACUCAAAUAAGGUACAGCCUAUUUGAAAAAGGAUACAACCUUAAUUACUGGGUCUUAAUUUUUAAUUUUGGUAGAGUAGGCCUAAAAGCAGCCAUCUCAAACAAAAGCGUCAAAGCUUACCCAUAAACUUAACCAAUUCCUAUCCUCCCAUCUACCCCUUAUUUUUCCCAUAGAGCAUCUCUAUAUUUUUAUAGAAAAUUUUAUGUUAAAACUAGUAAUAAGAAGCAGACCAUUCUCUUUAACGCAAGUUUACGUCAAUCAGGACACUCCACUGACAAUUAACGCCCAUAAUUUAUGAGUUGAAACAAAACAAGAAAAAUCUUCUAUCAUCAGCGUUCACCUAACACCAGAGCGUUACAAGAAAGAUCAAAAGAAAAAGAAGGAAUUCGGCAAAUUCCUAGUCCCGCCUGUUUACCAAAAACAUCGCCUCUUGCUAAACAAAUAAGAGGUCCAGCCUGCCCAGUGACACUGUUCAACGGCCGCGGUAUCCUAACCGUGCGAAGGUAGCGUAAUCAUUUGUUCUUUAAUUGAGGACUAGUAUGAAUGGCCCCACGAGGACUAUACUGUCUCCUUUUUCUGAUCAAUGAAACUGAUCUCCUCGUGAAGAAGCGGGGAUAAGCAUAUAAGACGAGAAGACCCUAUGGAGCUUUAAACAACAGAUACUUGCUAAAUUUAAAUUUUAUUCCUGAAAACUAAACAAAUUAAAGCAUUUUACUCUUAAGUUUUAGGUUGGGGUGACCACGGAGAAAAAAUCAACCUCCACGUUGUAAGAAGCCUCUCGGCUUCUAAGCUAAAAGCCACAGCUUAAAGCAUCAACACAUUGACCUCCAUUGACCCAAUAAUUUGACCAACGAACCAAGUUACCCUAGGGAUAACAGCGCAAUCUACUUUGAGAGCUCAUAUCGACAAGUAGGUUUACGACCUCGAUGUUGGAUCAGGGUGUCCUAGUGGUGCAGCCGCUACUAACGGUCGUUGUCAACGAUAAAAC
This 1418-nucleotide ribosomal RNA is filed under the name Ranitomeya imitator (mimic poison frog). Its description in RNAcentral is "partial 16S ribosomal RNA". It matches the Rfam family "Bacterial large subunit ribosomal RNA", at positions 201 to 2594 of the family's 2925-position model. Lineage: Eukaryota; Metazoa; Chordata; Amphibia; Anura; Dendrobatidae. The record is from RNAcentral.